Molecule: long non-coding RNA, 3535 nt
Organism: Ctenopharyngodon idella (grass carp)
Lineage: Eukaryota; Metazoa; Chordata; Actinopteri; Cypriniformes; Xenocyprididae
Exons: 5
Source: RefSeq, a predicted model, not a curated record
UUUUUUUUUUAAACUAUUAGUUAAUUGUUGAAUUCAUAAGCGAAUGGUUAAAUAAAUAAUGUCAGUCAGAACAUCAUGCAGUAUUAUGUUAAUGUACCGAUCGAUCAAUCUGCUUUGAAAGAAUAACCAGUAGAUGAAAAUAUCCAAACCAAACGCUUUUCCUUUAGUCGAGUCUCGAUGAAGAAGAUGUCGUCCGGUGGUUUACAAAGUUUUGACGGCUGAACAUAAAAUGAAUGCGGAACAAUUGCAAUGUUCAGAUGCUUGAAUCUUCUGCUGUUGUUGUGUUUGAUACAUUAUAUCGAAUCCUCUGGAAACACUCCUCGAUCUGUGACGGGGGAACAAGGAGGCAGCGUCACCCUGCCAUGUGAAUUUGAGGACGGAGAGAUUUCAGAUAUUGUUUUAAGUAGAUUUUCAAAAAUUAUCCUUGUUUGUCAUAAUGAAGAAUGUGAGAGUGAAAAUGGCAGAUUAUUGAAAAAAGGAUCAUGUGACGUCAUCAUCAAGGAUCUGAGAUUCACUGACGCUGGGAAAUAUAUUCUGAGACUCUAUUACACUAAUGAUCAGAGAGAACCGAAGCAACAAACCCUGCAGUACCAUCUUCAUAUUCAUGAAUCAAAGGGAAAACCGGACACAGAUGAAGACAAAUCUAAUGAUACUGAAGAAUCUGUAGAGUCUUGGAUUAUUGUGCUGUCUCCUCUCAUUGGAGCUCUGCUGGUUCUGCUGGUUCUGGUUAUAUGUGCUGUCAUCUGGAAACACCAAUGUCGGCACAGGGACACAGAAUAUGAUCUCUACCAAAGAGGGGUCCCAAUGCAAGACAUUGUACAGUAGUCCAGAACAUCUAGAGAUGACACUGGUAACUUGUAAUUUGCCUUCAGAGCCAAAACAUCCACAGAGGGUUCUGUCAACAUGUAUGAAUACACUCAUGAACAUUAGGGAUGGACCUCUGUUCUUCAUGUUGACAGUAUCUGCAGUGGUUCAGAGGGUAACACUGUCUCCUCACAGCAGAAGAUCCUCGGUUCAUCUGAGUCUGAGUCUCUUCUGUGUGGAGUUCACAUGUUCUCCUCGUGUCCGUGUGGGUUUACUGCACACAGUCCAAAGACACACAGGUUAGCUGGACAUGCCAAAUUGACUGUAGGUGUGAUUGUGUGUGUGUGUGUGUGUGUGUGUGUGUGUGUGUGUGUGUGUUAGGGGUGGGAAUCUUUAGGCACCUCACAAUCCGAUCCGAUUCCGAUUCUGAGAGUCACGAUCUGAUUCCACUUUUUUUCUUAUUAAUUAAUUAAUUAGUUUUUUUUAUUUAUUUAAUACAUAGUCUAUAUAAUUAGUACUUUUUAAAUUAGUACUUUUUUUUUUAAAAAAUUACUAGUUUAAAAUUUUUUUAUAAUUUUAAGAUUUUUAAAUAUAGGCUAUCAACAGCUUCAAAACAUAAAAGCAAGUAGUCUAUUAAAUAAUAAUAAGAAGAAUAAGAACAACAAAACAUUACAAGCAAUAAACAAAGAGUGUUUUCAGUAUUUAAGAAUAUCUGAACGUUUUCCAUUGAAAAGCUGUGAGUGAUUUUUCUCUUUCUCAGCUUUACGGUUGUUUGAUUAUUACUGAUAUCAUCAUAGACAUUGGAAGAAUAAGCUGCAUUCACAAUAAUCCACAGAUCUCUUUUGAAAUAUAAGAUGUUUUUGUCCUGUCUGUUUAAUCCCUCAAGACAUCUAACUGAGUUUACAUUAAUUUUGCAUCAUUAAAAGCGUUUCGAGAUGCGAGUACGCUACAUUUAAACACUUAAAGGAACACUCCACUUUUUUUGAAAAUAGGCUCAUUUUCCAACUCCCCUAGAGUUAAACAGUUGAGUUUUACCGUUUUCGAAUCCAUUCGGCCGAUCUCCGGGUCUGGCGGUACCACUUUUAGCAUAGCUUAGCAUAGUUCAUUGAAUCUGAUGAGACCGUUAGCAUCUCGCUCAAAAAUGACCAAAGAGUUUAGAUAUUUUUCCUAUUUAAAACUUGACUCUUCUGUAGUUACAUCGUGUACUAAGACCGACGGAAAAUGAAAAGUUGUGAUUUUCUAGGCCGAUAUAGCUAGGAACUAUACUCUCAUUCCGGCGUAAUAAUCAAGGAACUUUGCUGCCGUACCAUUUACUGUUAGUUCAUCUUGGUGGCUGUUACAGUAAAAACACAGUAAAAGUUUUCUUGAGAAUUCCACAUUUAAUACUCAUUUUAUAUGCAAAGUUGUUAACCCGUCACAUCAGUGGGUGUUUACACUGAAGGGUACACUGUAAAAAAUUAAUGUGAUUUUAACAGUAAAAUAUUGUAAAAACGCUACAGAAAAAAAAUGUAAAUAGGUUAACAGUAAGUUCCCGUACUAUAUACAGGGAAAAACUGUAAAAGCGCUUACCAGACAUUUAAUGUAAUUUUCACAGUAAAAUGCUGUAAAUUUUACAAUUUUUAGAAGUAAAAAAGAACAAAUCAAUGUAUAAAAACUGUAAACUGAAGGAACAUUUUUUAAUAAACUUUUUUAAUAAACUCAAAAACUGUAAACUGAUAUUCCCACAAUUCCCUGUGUGACACUCCACAUUUGAAAGUAUUUUGUUUAAAUAAUCAUGUUUCUUAAUAGUUUUUGUUAUCAGUUAUGUACAUUAGGGUUUUAUGUUACAUCUUCUGUUGUUUAAUGAAUGUUUAUCGCAUUAUGUAAGUGUUGUGGGUUACCAUGAUGGUGUUUUGCGUUUGCGUGAAUGACUCUUUGCACCCUCUUUACAUUAGUAUAUACUUCAGCUCGUGGAAGAUUAUAAGUGCACCUCAGGAAACAUUAUAUGAAAUGAUUUAAAAAUGCAUUUAAUAGCUCCUUUAAGAAGUGAGAUUUAAUAAGAAGAAGGAAAAAAAAAACAUUAACACCUUCAGCUGUUUGGUUUUGGUUUGCGAUUGGACUGAUUGGGGUUCCGCUGGUUCUGGCUCCGAUUAUGCUUGUCAUCAAAAGGUGAAACAUUGAUUUCUGGAUGGGAAGUUGUAUAGGGAGCCCAGAACACCUAGAAACCUCUCAGGUCCUUUUCAUUUUCCUUCAGAGCCAACAGAUCUACAGAGGAUUCUGUCAACACAUUUCUGCAACAUAUAUUUAAUUACAAUACAUAUGAACAUUUGCACUGCACCCCUACACCAAGAUUCUGUUUAACUGUAUCUGCAUUUAGUCAAAGCAAGCUAGAGAAUGGUAACUGAAUAACUGAAUAAUUUAACUAUUUUUAGAUAUUUAGACAGAUACACACACUGCAAAAAAUGCUUCUCUUAGAUUUUUUGUCUUGUUUCCUGUGUCAAACUGUGAAAGACAGUGUGUGUACACAUGUAUAAAUUUUAUAUAUUCAAAAUUGUCUUUUUAAAUAUGUAUAUGUAUGGCCUUUGGAAGAGUCUUAGCUUCUCCUAUAGUGUCUUCAUCAUCAUCAUCAUCAUCAUCAUCUAUUAGAGAUUUUCCUUUCCACUGUUGAUUUUGUGUGUUUAAUAGGUCAUCUGAACUAUUCUUUGUAAGUCUUCCAGUUAAAACUACACAAAUAAAACCACUUUUGUUGGAA